GAUGAACGCUGGCGGCGUGCCUAAUACAUGCAAGUCGAACGAACGGACGAGAAGCUUGCUUCUCUGAUGUUAGCGGCGGACGGGUGAGUAACACGUGGAUAACCUCCCUAUUAGACUGGGAUAACUUCGGGAAACAGGAGCUAAUACCGCAUAAUAUUUUGAACCGCAUGGUUCAAAAGUGAAAGACGGUCUUGCUGACACUGAUAGAAGGAUCCGCGCUGCAUUAGCUAGUUGGUAAGGUAACGGCCUACCAAGGCAACGAUGAAUAGCCGACCUGAGAGGGUGAUCGGCCACACUGGAACUGAGACACGGUCCAGACUCCUACGGGAGGCAGCAGUAGGGAAUCUUCCGCAAUGGGCGAAAGCCUGACGGAGCAACGCCGCGUGAGUGAUGAAGGUCUUCGGAUCGUAAAACUCUGUUAUUAGGGAAGAACAUAUGUGUAAGUAACUGUGCACAUCUUGACGGUACCUAAUCAGAAAGCCACGGCUAACUACGUG
RNAcentral lists this ribosomal RNA (497 nucleotides) under uncultured bacterium. RNAcentral's name for it is "partial 16S ribosomal RNA". It matches the Rfam family "Bacterial small subunit ribosomal RNA", at positions 28 to 507 of the family's 1533-position model. The record is from RNAcentral.